UAGGGAAUCUUCGGCAAUGGACGAAAGUCUGACCGAGCAACGCCGCGUGAGUGAAGAAGGUUUUCGGAUCGUAAAACUCUGUUGUUAGAGAAGAACAAGGACGUUAGUAACUGAACGUCCCCUGACGGUAUCUAACCAGAAAGCCACGGCUAACUACGUGCCAGCAGCCGCGGUAAUACGUAGGUGGCAAGCGUUGUCCGGAUUUAUUGGGCGUAAAGCUAGCGCAGGCGGUUUCUUAAGUCUGAUGUGAAAGCCCCCGGCUCAACCGGGGAGGGUCAUUGGAAACUGGGAGACUUGAGUGCAGAAGAGGAGAGUGGAAUUCCAUGUGUAGCGGUAAAAUGCGUAGAUAUAUGGAGGAACACCAGUAGCGGAGGCGGCUCUCUGGUCUGUAACUGACGCUGAGGCUCGAAAGCGUGGGGAGCAAACAGG
This 429-nucleotide ribosomal RNA is filed under the name Chloroflexota bacterium. Its description in RNAcentral is "Chloroflexi bacterium partial 16S ribosomal RNA". It matches the Rfam family "Bacterial small subunit ribosomal RNA", at positions 355 to 776 of the family's 1533-position model. Lineage: Bacteria; Bacillati; Chloroflexota. The record is from RNAcentral.